UCCCUCGUGGUCUAGUGGUUAGGACUCCAUACUUCCACAUGGGGGCCCAGGUUCGAUCCCUGGUCCGGGAA
Molecule: transfer RNA, 71 nt
Filed under: Capra hircus (goat)
Lineage: Eukaryota; Metazoa; Chordata; Mammalia; Artiodactyla; Bovidae
Also listed under: 1 other name
Rfam family: tRNA
About the family: Transfer RNA (tRNA) molecules are approximately 80 nucleotides in length. Their secondary structure includes four short double-helical elements and three loops (D, anti-codon, and T loops). Further hydrogen bonds mediate the characteristic L-shaped molecular structure. tRNAs have two regions of fundamental functional importance: the anti-codon, which is responsible for specific mRNA codon recognition, and the 3' end, to which the tRNAs corresponding amino acid is attached (by aminoacyl-tRNA synthetases). tRNAs cope with the degeneracy of the genetic code in two manners: having more than one tRNA (with a specific anti-codon) for a particular amino acid; and 'wobble' base-pairing, i.e. permitting non-standard base-pairing at the 3rd anti-codon position.
Source: Rfam by way of RNAcentral